This 198-nucleotide ribosomal RNA is filed under the name uncultured bacterium. RNAcentral describes it as "partial 16S ribosomal RNA". It matches the Rfam family "Bacterial small subunit ribosomal RNA", at positions 328 to 539 of the family's 1533-position model. The record is from RNAcentral.
ACGCUCGACACCUACGGGAGGCAGCAGUCGGGAAUAUUGCGCAAUGGAGGAAACUCUGACGCAGUGACGCCGCGUAUAGGAAGAAGGUUUUCGGAUUGUAAACUAUUGUCGUUAGGGAAGAUACAAGACAGUACCUAAGGAGGAAGCACCGGCUAACUAUGUGCCACAGCCGCGGUAAUCUGAGCGGGCUGGCAAGGC